AUCGCUUCUCGGCCUUUUGGCUAAGAUCAAGUGUAGUAUCUGUUCUUAUCAGUGUAGUAAUUCACUUGGUUGAUGUUGAAAAUAAAACUACAAUGAAGUCUUAACUUUCCUUGGUGAGACAGGAUGAAAUUUCUUACAUGGGGUAAAGUUAGUCUUUAAGUAUGAAAUCUUCACUCUAUUUUGCUUAUGACAA
Suncus etruscus (white-toothed pygmy shrew) is the source of this 193-nucleotide small nuclear RNA. RefSeq annotates it as U2 spliceosomal RNA. The record is from RefSeq and is a predicted model, not a curated record. The transcript has a single exon. Lineage: Eukaryota; Metazoa; Chordata; Mammalia; Eulipotyphla; Soricidae.